GACGAACGCUGGCGGCGUGCUUAACACAUGCAAGUCGAACGAUGAAGCCUAGCUUGCUAGGUGGAUUAGUGGCGAACGGGUGAGUAAUACGUGAGUGACCUACCUUUAACUCUGGGAUAAGCCCGGGAAACUGGGUCUAAUACCGGAUACGACCAAUCUCCGCAUGGGGUGUUGGUGGAAAGCGUUAUGUAGUGGUUAUAGAUGGGCUCACGGCCUAUCAGCUUGUUGGUGAGGUAACGGCUCACCAAGGCGACGACGGGUAGCCGGCCUGAGAGGGUGACCGGCCACACUGGGACUGAGACACGGCCCAGACUCCUACGGGAGGCAGCAGUGGGGAAUAUUGCACAAUGGGCGCAAGCCUGAUGCAGCGACGCCGCGUGAGGGAUGACGGCCUUCGGGUUGUAAACCUCUGUUAGCAGGGAAGAAGAGAGAUUGACGGUACCUGCAGAGAAAGCGCCGGCUAACUACGUG
Molecule: ribosomal RNA, 471 nt
Filed under: uncultured bacterium
Lineage: Bacteria
Description: partial 16S ribosomal RNA
Rfam family: Bacterial small subunit ribosomal RNA
Source: RNAcentral